UACCACAGUUGGGACAAGGGCCCUAGAAAAUGAAGCAAUGGUUCACUAAUAUGUCACUUUGGAAAUCAAAUAAAUGCUCAGACUCAGUAGUCUGCUUAUUAGAGGAUUAGGGGAAAAAAAAAACAUUGCAGAUUCUACCUUCAAGAUCAAAAAGUCUUUAACAAUUGCAUUUGUGAAAGAUUGAGAUAACCAAACUAUGAGGGGCACAGCAGCGAACCAUGUGAAGAUGAAGCUGAAUGGCUCUGGAAGCUGCAUGAGAAAAACAAUUACAAAAUCUAUGAAUGAAAAGGAAAAUGGAUACAACAAAGAUACAUAGUAUCCAAGAAGCUCCAAGUAAUGAUUGGCAAUCUGAACAAUAUUGUCCAUUGGUAAAUUCAGUAAGAUUAACCAACAUCAUUCAAUGAAAGGAAACAAGCAAUGAUGGUAGUUUACCUCCAAAAGAUAAGAUAUUUCAAAUCCAGUGAGAUCGUCCAAGAAGAAAAACCUGUUAGAACAAACACAAAUGAAAUUCAGACCUCAACAGUUCUAAUGAAACUACUGUUGAAAUGGUAAUGUUAACUUUGGUCAGGUGGCAGCUGUGUCACUAAAUAAGACUUGAUAGAGAACUAGCAAUUAGAAAGAAAGCUCCACAAGGACAUUUCAUAAGCCUUAAAAAUUCAAGUACUUACAAUCUAUAUUUGAGUGAAUGAAGGAAUAGUACUU
Molecule: long non-coding RNA, 702 nt
Filed under: Manihot esculenta (cassava)
Lineage: Eukaryota; Viridiplantae; Streptophyta; Magnoliopsida; Malpighiales; Euphorbiaceae
Description: long non-coding RNA (MESC_LNC000436)
Source: RNAcentral